GCUGUUCGAUAAGGCAGCGUCCGUGGUGGCUGCUACGAGCUCCGGUGCCUCGGUAGCCCAACCAUCGUCUUGACGGCGACCGACUUCUGCCCACCCAACUUUGGACUUGCGGGCGUCUUUGGUGGCCGGUGCAAGUUCCCCAAGAGGCAUCUCAAGAUGACUGAGGUCGCGUUCCUCUGGGUCACCAAGGCAAAGUCCCAACAUUAUCCGGAUACAAUUUCGAAGGGCUGGAGGAGAAGAGCAAAAUCACAGAGGUGCAGGUUCUUGGCUAGGUGGUGUGAUGUGUUAGAGUAGGGUGACCUAAUGGCCAGAGGGGAUCUAGGCGUCCUGACGGCCAGUGGAGAUCGUGGCGCAGGUGCUACAUAGGGAAGAAGGUGCUGCCUGGAGAUCUAGGCGGCAUGAUGACCAGAUGAAUCUGGGUGACCUGAUGGAUCGAGGCGGAGGUGCUGCCGAGGUGGAAGAUAGAAGAGGACAGUGAUAAGAUCGUUGGACAGUGAUAGGAUCGUUAUUGAAGACCACAAUGUUGGAUCGCGAUUCGGCAGUGUACCGAUGUAAUUUUGCUUCCUUUUCACCUGGUCGAAAAUAUCUAAAACAUCUUAUAUAUUAACACGGAGGCAUUAUUUGCUACAA
Lolium perenne is the source of this 630-nucleotide long non-coding RNA. RefSeq lists it as uncharacterized. Lineage: Eukaryota; Viridiplantae; Streptophyta; Magnoliopsida; Poales; Poaceae. The record is from RefSeq and is a predicted model, not a curated record.